AGUGAACGCUGGCGGUAGGCCUAACACAUGCAAGUCGAACGGCAGCACAGUAAGAGCUUGCUCUUACGGGUGGCGAGUGGCGGACGGGUGAGGAAUACAUCGGAAUCUACUUUUUCGUGGGGGAUAACGUAGGGAAACUUACGCUAAUACCGCAUACGACCUACGGGUGAAGGCAGGGGAUCUUCGGACCUUGCGCGAUUGAAUGAGCCGAUGUCGGAUUAGCUAGUUGGCGGGGUAAAGGCCCACCAAGGCGACGAUCCGUAGCUGGUCUGAGAGGAUGAUCAGCCACACUGGAACUGAGACACGGUCCAGACUCCUACGGGAGGCAGCAGUGGGGAAUAUUGGACAAUGGGCGCAAGCCUGAUCCAGCCAUACCGCGUGGGUGAAGAAGGCCUUCGGGUUGUAAAGCCCUUUUGUUGGGAAAGAAAAGCAGCAGGUUAAUACCCCGCUGUUCUGGCGGUACCCAAAGAAUAAGCACCGGCUAACUUCGUG
Molecule: ribosomal RNA, 492 nt
Filed under: uncultured bacterium
Lineage: Bacteria
Description: partial 16S ribosomal RNA
Rfam family: Bacterial small subunit ribosomal RNA
Source: RNAcentral